GGAUUUCACGAAAGAAGAGUCGAUGAAACUCCCAUUGACAGAAGGAAAACGCAAACAAAAUGAUACAAACCCAUCUACUUGCAUUUUCUCUUUUU
Molecule: small nuclear RNA, 95 nt
Filed under: Blastocystis sp. ATCC 50177/Nand II
Lineage: Eukaryota; Bigyra; Opalinata; Blastocystidae
Source: RNAcentral